Molecule: long non-coding RNA, 2835 nt
Filed under: Sus scrofa (pig)
Lineage: Eukaryota; Metazoa; Chordata; Mammalia; Artiodactyla; Suidae
Description: lncRNA (ENSSSCG00015039026.1)
Source: RNAcentral
CAGAUGGAAUCUGCCAUGGUUUUAGAGGAGAAAAUCUGAGUUGAGAAAUAGUAAUUUUCUAAUGACUCCAGCUAAAAGAGGGAUGAUUUUUAUUGGUGAAUUUGGUUAUUUUUGACUGCCAUAAUUUCUUUCUUUCUUUCUUUCUUUCUUUCUUUCUUUCUUUCUUUCUGGCCACACCAGCAGCAUAUGGAAGUUCCUGGGCCAGGGAUUGAAUCUGAGCUGCAGCUGCAGGUCAACAGCACAGCUGCAGCAAUGCUGGAUACUUGAACCCACUGCGCCAAGUUGGAGACCUAACUGGCACCUCUGCAUUGACCCAAACCACUGCAGUUGGAUUCUUAGCCCACUGUGCUGAAGCAGGAGCUCCUUGACUCUCAUAAUUUCUUAAGAUGAAUAUGUAUUUCAUCUCUGAUAUGGUAUUGUAACUAUCUCAGAAUGCAAAAUAGAGGAUAGAGUAUGGUAAAUCAUAAUUCUUACAAAAAAAUGAUAUUUGUACCAAAAUGAUUUCCCUCUUACCUACUGCCAUAUAAAACACUCUGGCCCAUGUGCAAUGUCUGGAUAUUUCUUGGUACAAUAUUGGGUGUAUCUCUAAGCCAUGAGAUGGUGUGAUUGUAACUAAGAAUACUUGAUGUAAAUUCUAUUGUGUUCUACAGCAUUUUUUUUUUUUACUACUUUUGAAAUUUAAGGCCGCAUAGAACUGAGUUAAUAGACACUUGCAUACACCCAAGUUUCUCUGAAUACUUUGAAUUAGGUUAAAAAUUUCUCAGAAAAUCCACAAUAUCCUAAACAGACACACCUUUGUCACCUGUUAGAUCCAAGUUGCUCAAAAAGCAUCAGACAUAACAGCAUUAUUCACAAUAGCCAAAAGCUAGAAAUAACCCAACAAUACAUCACAGAUGAAUGGAUAAACAAAAUGUGAUAUAUAUAUAUAUACAUAUAUAUUUACAAAUAUAUAUAUUUGUAUAUAUAUCACACACACAUACACCCAUAUUGUGUAUAUGUGUAUACACACACACACACACAAUGGAAUAUUAGCCCAUGAAAAGGACUGAAAUUCUGAUAUAUGCUACAACAUGGAUGAAUCUUGAAAACAUUACGCUAAAUAAAAUACACGAGUCACCAAAGGACAAAUAAUUUAUAAUUCCAUUUAUAUAAAGCAGCUAGAAAUGGCAAAUCCAUAGAGACAGAAAGAAUCAGGAUUAUCAGGGACUUGGAGGGGAGUUACUAUUUUGUGGCUACAGAGUUUCUGCUUCACAUGAUGAAAAGGUUCUGGAAGUAGAUCGUAAUGAUGGUUAUACAACUUUACGAAAGUCCUCACUGCCAUUGAAUCGUAUACUCAUAAAGGGUUAAAAUGGUAACUUUUAUGUUAUAUGUAGUUUACAGCCAAAGAGAGAGAAAGAGAGAGAGGAAGGAAAGAAGGAAGGAGGGAGGGAGGAAGGAAGGGAGGAAGGAAGAAGAAACCAAAGAGGUACCACUUGACUCUCACCAAUUGGGACAUGAUCUGUGCAUCUAGAACUGCUGAAGAGCAGAAGUUUGUUUUGUACGUCUGUGUUCUAAUGAUAGAAUAAUCCACCGUCUCAAAACAGAGUCCGGAUUCCCAGAGAGGGAACUCGGCUCCGAUAGAGAGAGGAUGAUGUAAGAUGCUUGUGAGACAUUCAGAUUGUUGCAUAUUACGUUCGAGGAAAGAAGGUGGGGGCAGGAGGGUUGAAAAUAAGACAGUAAAAAGCACCUGAGUUUUAAAAGAGAAAAUGAUCAGCAACGAGAAAUACAGGGAUGAGAAAUGAACAAGGAAACUAGUUGUGGCAUGACAGUAGAAACUCCAUAUGUAGUACUAGGCAUUUCUUUUUUUUUUUUUUUUUUUCCUGUCUCUUUGCCAUUUCUUGGGCCGCUCCCACGGCAUAUGGAGAUUCCCAGGCUAGGGGUCGAAUUGGAGCUGUAGCCACCAGCCUACACCAGAGCCACAGCCACACAGGAUCUGAGCCGCAUCUGCAACCUACACCACAGCUCACAGCCACGCCAGAUCCUUAACUCACUGAGCAAGGCCAGGGUAGGCAUUUCUUGCUUAUACUUUUUAUUUUUUUUCUUAUUCCCUUGAGCAGAAGCUGAGGGAAUAUGUCCCUUUCAAAUAUCUAGUGUUAUUUUUAAAAAAUACCACUAAGCCUUUAGUCUAUUAGCCCAUUCCAAACAUUCACUUGCAGUGAUUAAGAUUAUGUAUACAAGAGAGUCGGCUCAAUUUCCCGUGAAGCUGCUCACGGAGGAGGCCUCGAAACUUGGGGAACACUGCAGCACAACUGCUCAGGAUCACCAGCGAAGUCAAACAAAAAUUGGAAUUAUUCAGAAAAAAACAUUCUCCAGUCUAAGAAAGAGGUCCCAAACCAUUGCGGUCCCUGGUACCCUUGGAGAUGAGAGCAGGGAAGAACAUGGUAUGGAGGUUGGAGAGAGGUGGGUUUGAGAGUGAUGGGGAGCAUCCCAGCCAAGAUCAACCUGUUCACUAUCCGGGGGUAGAGUUUUGAGAGUUCAUUUUAUCAUUUGUCUAUUUAUUUAUUUACGUUUUAUUGAAGUCUAGGUAGUUGACAAGGCUGUGAAGAUUUCUGCUGUACGACACAGUGACCCAGUCAAGCAUAUACACAGAUCCCUUCUCUUUCAGAUUCUUUUCCCGUGUAGCUCAUCACAGAAUACUGGGUAGAGUCCUCUGUACCCUCCUGAGUGUUCAUUUUAAUCACAUGGCAACCACCAAGAGGCAGGGCGGAUACGCAUUUAGAAAGAACAACUACAACUCCAUUCAAGUCAGUUUGGGUGGUGGGAUGCUAUGAACUCUCACCAUCCCCCAUAAGAUGG